ACGACAACAAAAAGACAAAUGGAGAAUGCGGGUAUCGAUCCCGCUACCUCUCGCAUGCAAAGCAAGCGCUCUACCAUUUGAGCUAAUUCCCCUGGCCUUAUUAAGAAACAUUGUCAGUGAAAAAUAGCGUUAAAUAUCAUCAUCCACCAGAAAGCCAAAUGGAGAAUGCGGGCAUCGAUCCCGCUACCUCUCGGAUGCAAAGCAAGCGCUCUACCAUUUGAGCUAAUU
Long non-coding RNA from Hippocampus comes (tiger tail seahorse), 228 nucleotides. RefSeq lists it as uncharacterized. NCBI's taxonomy places the organism in Eukaryota, Metazoa, Chordata, Actinopteri, Syngnathiformes, Syngnathidae. The record is from RefSeq and is a predicted model, not a curated record. The transcript is spliced from 3 exons.